RNAcentral lists this ribosomal RNA (235 nucleotides) under uncultured bacterium. Its description in RNAcentral is "partial 16S ribosomal RNA". It matches the Rfam family "Bacterial small subunit ribosomal RNA", at positions 333 to 585 of the family's 1533-position model. The record is from RNAcentral.
GUACUCCUACGGGACGCAGCAGUGGGGGAUAUUGCACAAUGGGGGAAACCCUGAUGCAGCGACGCCGCGUGGGUGAAGAAGCGCCUCGGCGCGUAAAGCCCUGUCAGCAGGGAAGAAAAUGACGGUACCUGAAGAAGAAGCCCCGGCUAACUACGUGCCAGCAGCCGCGGUAAUACGAAGGGGGCAAGCGUUAUCCGGAUUUACUGGGUGUAAAGGGCGUGGAGCCGGGCCGGCA